This 329-nucleotide ribosomal RNA is filed under the name uncultured Lachnospiraceae bacterium. RNAcentral's name for it is "partial 16S ribosomal RNA". The record is from RNAcentral. Lineage: Bacteria; Bacillati; Bacillota; Clostridia; Lachnospirales; Lachnospiraceae.
GGAGUUUGGACCGUGUCUCAGUUCCAAUGUGGCCGUUCACCCUCUCAGGCCGGCUAUUGAUCGUUGCUUUGGUAGGCCGUUACCCUACCAACUGGCUAAUCAAACGCGGGUCCAUCCUUAAGCGAAAUUCUUUUCCUCACAAAAUCAUGCGAUUCCGUAAGCAUAUGGCGUAUUAGCAGUGAUUUCUCACUGUUAUUCGCCUCUUAAGGGCAGGUUACCCACGCGUUACUCACCCGUCCGCCACUAGAAUUCUUGCAUCUUCAACCGAAGUCUCCGUCACAAGGUUCCCGUUCGACUUGCAUGUGUUAGGCACGCCGCCAGCGUUCAUC